GGGCGAGUGGCGGAACUGGUAGACGCGCCAGACUCAAAAUCUAGUGACAGCAAUGUCGUAAGGGUUCAAGUCCCUUCUCGCCCACCA
This 87-nucleotide transfer RNA is filed under the name Candidatus Saccharimonadota bacterium. RNAcentral's name for it is "tRNA-Leu". It matches the Rfam family "tRNA". Rfam says of the family: Transfer RNA (tRNA) molecules are approximately 80 nucleotides in length. Their secondary structure includes four short double-helical elements and three loops (D, anti-codon, and T loops). RNAcentral also lists the same sequence under 1 other name. The record is from RNAcentral. Lineage: Bacteria; Candidatus Saccharimonadota.